ACAAAAUGGAUAAAGAUAGAGAGAAAGAUUUAACAAGAACCUAUUGAGAAACUGAACCUGAUUUAACGAUAGCGACUAAUCAUUAUGUAAUAACAAUUGGAAACAAUACAUGAAAAAUUUAACGAUAACCUAUUGAGAAACUGAACCUGAUUUAACGAUAACCUAUUGAGAAACUGAACCUGAUUUAACGAUAGCGACUAAUCAUUAUCAUUAUGUAAUAACAAUUGGAAACAAUACAUGAAAAAUUUAACGAUAACCUAUUGAGAAACUGAACCUGAUUUUGAAGAUCGAAUGAAUCUGAAUGUUGAAACGGAACAAAGCUUGAAUAACGAGAUUUAGGGAUUGAAGGUUGAAUACCUAGAAUUUGAAUGUUGAAUGAAACUUGAAUCAAACACAAAUUGCUCAGAGAAUAACAAAAUGGAGAGAGAGAGAGAGAGAGAGAUUUCACUUACAGCUCCGAAGAAGUAGAAGAAGAAACGAAAUCUGAUUCGCGAUUAGCUCCGAAGACGAAACGAAAUCGUAACUUGCUUUUGCUUCAUUGCGCUUUUGUGCUUGUUUGUUUUGGGGUUGAAAUGGGUUUAUUGAUGAACGCAGAGAGAGAGUGUUAUAUUUAUGCCUCUUCUUAUUCCAAUCAAAUUCUGCCAGCUCAGCACAGUUACAACAAACUCCUAGCCUCACUAAUGAUUCCUAAGCUAAGUCCUGAGCUGACUAAUUACUCCUAAGCUAACUGUUUAAGCUUAAUCAAAACUUACUCAAUUACAUAUUACGUAUCAAUUACAUUGAGGCAUAUACACUGAUAGGGUUAAACGCGCUAAUCGUGAGUUUUCAAUUUUCUAAAUGAAGCUAAUAGUACAUCUUUUCAUUAUUCCAUUAUUAUCUUUCUUUUUUUUCUUUUACGUUCUUAUUAAUUGUAAAUUUCACUUCGCAAUUAUUUUGUUUUAAACGGUUUAUCGCGAAAUGUAUUUAAGCAAUUCAUAAGAUAUAAUAUCUCAAAUUUAACAUUGAGCAUUAAAUCAAAUUUCUCAAACAAUAUUUAAAAAGAAUACAUAUAAAUAAUAUUAAAGAAAAAAUUAUCCCGUAUAUGGUACGGACUAACAUACUAGUUUAAUUCAUACUCAUCAUGUAAUAUAUAUAUGCAUCAUCCAUCAUUUUUAUAUUAUUCAUUCAUAUAUAUGCAUCGUAAAUCAUUCAUGAUAUUCAUGUUUAAAUUCUCUGAGGCGACGACUUGUCUUUAGGAUCUAAGUGAAGAAUUUAAACUAGCCUUAAAUCAUAGAUGCAUGAUUAUAGCAUAUCUACUUUAAUUAUAUAGAUUAAGGAAAGUAAUUGUGUAUCUAUGAGAUUUUGAUUUAGAGAAGUAAAUGAGGUUGAGAGUUUUUUUACCUCUCACUGAUGAGAUAGAGUAGUUGUCAGAAUGUCUUGACCUGAUGGGAUGGUUAACAUGUAUAUUUAUUAGUGGGGCAGGGACCUCUCAACAGGCUUACUAUGAGAAACGGCUCAACCCAUCACGACCUGUUCCUAAACACAGCCCAUUAACAAAUAUCCAUUUAAUUAUAAACUUUAGUGCAAUAUUAUAAUUAGAAUAUAAAUAGUUGAUAUAAUAAUUUAUAAAUAUUUUAAUUGUUGAUUAAGGUUAAUCCAUAAAAUCCAACAAUUCUCCCACUUGGAUAACCUUAAUCAAUUAUUAAAACAUAAGAAUCAUGAAUUAAAAAACUAUCAACUAUUUAUCUAAGCACUUGUUAUUAUAACAGUAUAGGAAACACAAGUUUUAACAAUGCAAAAAUUGAAUUCGAUAGGAAUACAAAAUCAUACACGUUAAAUACUUAUAUUUCACAUAAGGAUAAUGGAUACGGAUUAACAUUAUAUAGUUAAGAAUAUGUCAUCCAAGAGUGGCCCAAGCAUAUGAAAUGCUAUAACAAACUCCCACUAACCCAAAAUAUAGAAGACUUAAUCAAAUAUAUAUAAAUCUGUCGUUGGUGGUUCUGCCAAUGAGUUUUUGAUUUUAUAAAAGUCAUGAAAUAUCCACAUAGGUCAAGUAAUCACUAACUUAUAGGGAUAGCCUAUUAAGAGAAUAAUUACUUUUAGUCAAAAUUAAUAAAUGUUCUACAAUAUUUGACAUUCAAUUAAUCCAAAUUUUAGCAAAAAUUGUGACUAUGAAAAUCAAUAAAGAAAUAGGAGAUUGAGGAAUCUCCAAUUGGAUUAACACAACCACUUAGUUUAAAGAAGAUAAGAUAUGGAUUAAUGUGGCCACAAGAAUGUCAAUAAUGAACAAAUUAUGAUUAUGCAAUUCAUAAGUACUUUAAGAACACAAUAUCAUACUCGAUAGGAGUAUUGAUAUUAUACGUAGUACUUACUAUUUAUGACCUUAUAGAAUGUGUAAUGUUAGUAAAAGAGAAACACAAUAUAUUUGCAUGCUAAGAGAUAAUUUUGCAUUUUCCAACAAAUUGACUUAAGCAUCUAAUUAUGAUGCUUACCGAGAUUAAAGAGUUGAUAUAUAUCUCAGUAUAGUAGAAUGAGACUGAAAUUUAAAGUCUCUUAAGUUAUGCCAUAUUUUAUUUAGCGCGCAAAAGUAUAUGGCAAGAGUGAGAUUAUAACUUUAAGUUUUAUGUUUAUAUCAUUGUGUACAUAUUUUCAUUGAUCUCACAUAUAUGAACAAGAGUGAAAUUUUUCAUUUGAGCUCAUAGUAUAAUAUUAUGUACACACUCCCAUUGAUCCCACAUAUAUAAACAAGAAUGAGUGGAAUUUUCUUUAGUGUUUUCAUCAGUGAUCACUGAUAUACAAAUAUUAUGAUAUGUAAUAUUUAACCGUGAGAUACUUGCUAGUGCAAAAUUAUAUGUAUAUAUGUGGUCAUAUUAUUUUAAUUCACUAAUAAAGUUUCACAAACUCAACCACAUAUUUGCACAUGCAACAGAAUUACUAAUACAAGUGGUAACUCGAUGAUAAUAUAAAAUCCAAUAUAUACGAAACUUUUCAAUGGCAUAUUUUAUCAAGUAUUGGAUUUAAUGGUUAACCAUAUAUUCUGCAUUUAGAAUUAAGGAGAUUGUUAAUUUUCACUUAACAAUUUAUAAUAUAAAUCUCCUUAUAACAAAUAAAAUUCUCAAAAGAAUUUUUAUAUAUAAAGUAGCUAUCAUAUAAAAGAGUAUGAUGAUCAUAUAUAAAAGAUUAAUCAUCAUAUGAGUGAGAUUAAGUCUCUAGUAUUAUAAAAUAGGGUAUGAGACUAUAUAUAUUAAAAGUUUAAUAACUCACCCAUAAAAUUCAAAUGCUACAAUUAUAGACACACACAUUUGAGAAAUAGUUUGGUUACACGCAGCGGAAAUACACGAGACUUAAGUUUUAUUAUUAUUGAGGAUAUAUGAGAGAAUAGUCAUUAACUUUCAUAAGUGUUGAAAAUAAUAAUAAUAAUAUUAAUAAUAAUAUGAAAUAUGCCAAAUAUAGUGAAAAUUGAAAAGUUGAAUAUCUCAAAUGUACAAUUUAAAACCAUUUAAAAUAAUGACAUAAAAUAAAUAGAAUUUUCUUGAUAAAGUUGUUAAGCAUUUGAGAUUUUGACAUAUUGCGUUUACAAAAUGAGUUUGCAAAAUUAUAUAAUGAUAUGGAAGUAUAUAAUAAUUUAUGAGAGAAGACUAUAUUUAAUAUCCUCAAUAUAAGUCUCUACGGUAGUUUUAUGUCUAGAAUUAUGAGACAAAUAAAUAUAUUUGUUUCUUAGCUAUAGUUAAUUUGCAUGUAGAAUUUUCCUCACUUGACAAAGAAUGAUAUUUAAAAUGGUGACAUAUUUUUCUUACACCAAUGAAAGGAUGAUCAUGUUAAGCAAUGUCAUACCCAUAGGGUAUGUCCAUUACGUCACACAAUACAUAGUGAGGAUUCUCCCACUUGAUAGAGAAUGAUAGUUGAAUUAAAAGUUUGAAAAUAUUUUAAAUAAAUAUUCAACUAUUUCUCUAUCACAUGAAGAUCGUGUUGAGUAACAUCACACUGAUAGGGUUAUGUCCGCCACUUAACAAAACCCAGGGAUAGAUGACAAUCCAAUUUUUAUUUUUAUUUUUAAAUAAAGUUUGAAUAAUUCAUUAAUUAAAAUUAGGGUAAUAUUGGAUUGCAAAAUUAAGAUAGUAGCUACAUGCGCUAUAAUAUAUUUAGUAAAAUUUCUUACUUAUUGUAAUAUGAUUCAAGGGUAUUAAGGAUAGUAAGUAAGAACUAUAACAUUUCAAUGUACGGUUCUUAUGUCACAACAUUUUAAUAGUGACAUAGUAUUUGAAAUAUAAGGAUAUAAAAUUAAAGUACAUUGAGUAAUAACGAACAUUAUAUUAACAACAACACACCGAUAGGGUAUGAUUGUUGUCGGUAUACUUUGCAUAAUUGUAUCCACGAUAGGUGAGAUUACAAUUAUACAAAUCAUUAAUGUUUUUGCUUAAAAGAAUAUGAUAAAAUAAUAUCAUGCAUAAACAAUCUAUUUAAUUUACUCAAUUUUAGUCAUAUUCAAGUAAUAGAAAAACAUGCUUAAAAGUAUGGAAAAUGUUAAACAGUGCACCCGAUGCACUAGUUAAGCAUACCAAAAAGGAAAUUUUAUCUUGAAAUAUGUGCAUUUAAUGUAUUGAAAGUGUAAAAAGUUGUUUUUAUCAACAUUAACUUUAUAUUUUAUUUCUAUUUUUAAUAUGCUUAACAAGUGCACCGGGUGCACUGUUUAACAUGACCCUAAAAGUAUUUUAAAUUAGCACAUCAUAAAUAUGACUUUAGAAUUUAUAUACGAAAGAGUAUGAUAGCAAGAGUUAUUAUUUAAAAUAAAAGUGUGUAAAAUAGUUUGUAUUUUAUCCAGAAUAUAACUCUUAGAAUAAAGUUUUAAAUACUUCCACUAUAACUUCGGGAUUUUUCUAUCAUGUGCAACUUUGUAUAUGUUAAUAAAUUCAAAAUAGUAAGUUUGCAUUGGAACUUGUGCAUUUCAUAUUAAAUAUUUAAUUUAUUUAAUAAAUAAUAAUAAUUUUUUAUUAAAUAGUUACUAUUUUUAGUUACUUUAACAUGUGCAAUAUUGUACAUGUUAGACAAACCCAUAACUUAAAUAUAAAUUAAAAAUGGAGUAUUAUUGUGAGAAAAAAUAUAUAUACAAUAAUUAUAGAGUUCUAUUUAGAAUUUUCUGGAAAAGGAUUCUACUUUUAUAUUUAUAUAAUUGCACAACAAGAGAAGAAGAAAUAAAUUUUUUCAUAGAUGCAAUAACAAGUAAUAAGUCACGAGAGGUUGAAAAAAUUUAAUUGAAUUGUGACUAACCUCAUAGAGUGUGACAUUCAUCAUUGUCCUUAGAGUCAUUGGCUUGUGAUGACUUUAACGAGUAUAUCAUUUGAUAAC
RNAcentral lists this long non-coding RNA (5325 nucleotides) under Trifolium pratense (red clover). Its description in RNAcentral is "long non-coding RNA (TPRA_LNC014017)". Lineage: Eukaryota; Viridiplantae; Streptophyta; Magnoliopsida; Fabales; Fabaceae. The record is from RNAcentral.